GACGAACGCUGGCGGCGUGCCUAAUACAUGCAAGUAGAACGCUGAAGAGAGGAGCUUGCUCUUCUUGGAUGAGUUGCGAACGGGUGAGUAACGCGUAGGUAACCUGCCUGGUAGCGGGGGAUAACUAUUGGAAACGAUAGCUAAUACCGCAUAAAAUUGAUUAUUGCAUGAUAAUUAAUUGAAAGAUGCAACUGCAUCACUACCAGAUGGACCUGCGUUGUAUUAGCUAGUUGGUGAGGUAACGGCUCACCAAGGCGACGAUACAUAGCCGACCUGAGAGGGUGAUCGGCCACACUGGGACUGAGACACGGCCCAGACUCCUACGGGAGGCAGCAGUAGGGAAUCUUCGGCAAUGGGGGGAACCCUGACCGAGCAACGCCGCGUGAGUGAAGAAGGUUGUCGGAUCGUAAAGCUCUGUUGUAAGAGAAGAACGGGUGUGAGAGUGGAAAGUUCACACUGUGACGGUAUCUUACCAGAAAGGGACGGCUAACUACGUG
RNAcentral lists this ribosomal RNA (497 nucleotides) under uncultured bacterium. Its description in RNAcentral is "partial 16S ribosomal RNA". It matches the Rfam family "Bacterial small subunit ribosomal RNA", at positions 28 to 507 of the family's 1533-position model. The record is from RNAcentral.